AUUGAACGCUGGCGGCAGGCCUAACACAUGCAAGUCGAGCGGAUGAAGGGAGCUUGCUCCUGGAUUCAGCGGCGGACGGGUGAGUAAUGCCUAGGAAUCUGCCUGGUAGUGGGGGAUAACGUCCGGAAACGGGCGCUAAUACCGCAUACGUCCUGAGGGAGAAAGUGGGGGAUCUUCGGACCUCACGCUAUCAGAUGAGCCUAGGUCGGAUUAGCUAGUUGGUGGGGUAAAGGCCUACCGAGGCGACGAUCCGUAACUGGUCUGAGAGGAUGAUCAGUCACACUGGAACUGAGACACGGUCCAGACUCCUACGGGAGGCAGCAGUGGGGAAUAUUGGACAAUGGGCGAAAGCCUGAUCCAGCCAUGCCGCGUGUGUGAAGAAGGUCUUCGGAUUGUAAAGCACUUUAAGUUGGGAGGAAGGGCAGUAAGUUAAUACCUUGCUGUUUUGACGCUACCAACAGAAUAAGCACCGGCUAACUUCGUG
This 484-nucleotide ribosomal RNA is filed under the name uncultured bacterium. RNAcentral describes it as "partial 16S ribosomal RNA". It matches the Rfam family "Bacterial small subunit ribosomal RNA", at positions 30 to 507 of the family's 1533-position model. The record is from RNAcentral.